AACGCAUAUUGCACUCUCUGGUAUUCCGGGGAGUAUGCCUGUUUGAGGGUCAGUAAAUAAUAAUUAUCAUAAUCUUUUGAUUGUGGAAUUGGGCCUUUAUUUCAUUUUAAUGAUUUAUGGCCUUAAAUUUAUGUUACCGCUUGUUUAAUAUGAAAUCCGACCGAAUGGAGCAAUUAAACAUUCUCUCGUUAGGCGGAUUCAUCAAGCAAUUACGAUUUUUUGGCCGUCGAAGCACUUUUUUUUUAGAAGUGCUUGGUCGAGAUCGUAAGAUACAUUUUUAACAAUGACCUCAAAUCAGGCAAGAAUACCCGCUGAACUUAA
Molecule: unclassified non-coding RNA, 321 nt
Filed under: uncultured Entrophospora
Lineage: Eukaryota; Fungi; Glomeromycota; Glomeromycetes; Entrophosporales; Entrophosporaceae
Description: uncultured Claroideoglomus sequence contains ITS2
Rfam family: 5.8S ribosomal RNA (bases 1-52)
Source: RNAcentral